UAACCAAGCCUUGUUCAUUCAAAUAAUUAUUACAUAAUUUCUAUCAUAAUAAAAACUUUGUUAAAAAUGAAAUAAAACAAUUUAAAAAUUAUUUUUAGUUAUCUUUUCAAGAUAAGGUCCCAUGCAAUCUUUUUUCUCUAAAAUAUUGGCUUCCUUUUCAUGGACUCACAUUAAACAACCUUUCCAACUCCCAGUUAUCUUAAAAUAACAAGGGCCUCUUACGAGUAGAUGUAGCUUUUCAUAUUUUUUUCUUCUUAGUGUCCUUUCUUAUUGAAUUUUCCCCAUAACUGGAGAAUAUAUAUAAAGAUCAUAUUUUCUCAGUUUACAGAUGUGAAGUCAGUGACUAUAGCUUUCUAGAUGUGGGUACAAAAGCUCUAAAUAAUAAAUAGCCAGAUGAGCUGGGGACAUUGAGAAAUAGCCUUUCUCUUCCUUUUUUAACUCAUUCUUUUCCACUCAUAUGACUGUAAAUAAAAUAUUUAAUAGCUCUUACUUUAAAAAAAAUAGACACAACGAGUUUCUUGAUUGGUAUGCUCAUUUACCUUCAUUGUCAGGGGAGAAGUUAGAUUACACAAGGUAAAAAAGAAUUUAUUUUUUUCUUUGUUUUGAUAGAUUGAGCCAUGCUUGAAUUUUCUUAUACUUCAAAGUAUCAUGAAAAUAUUUUUUGCUGCUCUGGUAUUGUGGAAUUUUGAUAUUUAAAUAAAUGGCAUAACUAAAUGUUCCAAUGUUUUUACAAUAUCUCUAGGCUGAUAGUUACCGACCUUAUAAUAUCUAAGAUGUAGAGGAAAACUGGAAUCAAUUAAUCUUUUGCUAUGUUAUCAACACUAGAUCAACCAUCUGGGUUUCUUGAAAAUACCUGAAGGAUUGAAUUUUGCUUCAGUUUUGAUAAUGGCACAGCCUAUAUCUGCUACAUGGAAUUACAUCCUUUGCCCUUCUGGUGCCCUGCUUGUUGAUAAAUACAAGAUGUCAAUUUGAGUUAGUAUUGCACUGGAAAAUAUAGAAUGUGGGUUAAUCAUCUGAAAGGAUACUUAACAGCCAUGAGACUUCACAACUGACAACUGCUUACUUCAUAGUCCAUGCUGAAAACAGUAAUCCAGUAUUUCCUUAUUAAUGAAAUUCCCAUCCUUAAGGAACUCAUUGGUGGAGGAGAGGAACCAAUAUACCCACGAUUACACACAGGAUCACAUAGGAGGACCCAGUAACCCAGACUUACGGGGGUCAGGAGAGGAUUCCUGAAGGAAGUGGCUUAUUCCCUGAGUGUAUGGUGAAUGCCGCUAUUCCAAGUCAUGGAAUAAAACUAGAACAAAGUUGUUUCUGUGGAAAGGGAAAUAUGGCAGCAACAAACAAAAAUGAUAGGACAUGGCUCUGACAGGUGACAAUCCAGGAGGAUAAUUCUGGAGUGCCGUAUCUGAUUCUUGGGAAACUAGAGGAUGUCUUCGUCGCCCUAGCCCACUGCGUCACCACCCCUCUGGUUGCAACACAGAAGCUUUUUGGGAAGUGAUACUAACAAGAAUCAGAUUUUCCUGGACCGGUAACAGAGGAAACAACUUCUGGCACAGUAAUUCUUUGAACUGGAACCAUGAGGGCAAGUAC
Molecule: long non-coding RNA, 1590 nt
Organism: Balaenoptera musculus (blue whale)
Lineage: Eukaryota; Metazoa; Chordata; Mammalia; Artiodactyla; Balaenopteridae
Exons: 6
Source: RefSeq, a predicted model, not a curated record